Molecule: ribosomal RNA, 787 nt
Filed under: uncultured bacterium
Lineage: Bacteria
Description: bacterial SSU rRNA
Rfam family: Bacterial small subunit ribosomal RNA
Source: RNAcentral
AGAGUUUGAUCAUGGCUCAGGAUGAACGUUGGUAGUAUACUUAACACAUGCAAGUCGAACGGGGUUGGAGUAAUCCAAUUCAGUGGCGAACGGGUGAGUAAUGCUUAUCUACUUGCCGAUUACUGCGGGGACUAUGGGCAACCAUAGAGAAUACCCCAUGUGCUGGCUUCGGCCAGGAAAGAGGGUCGCAAAAUUUUCGCUAAUCGAGAGGGAUAAGCCGUAUUAGCUAGUUGGUGGGGUAAUGGCCUACCAAGGCAAUGAUGCGUAGCCGGCCUGAGAGGGUGAACGGCCACAGGGAAACUGAGACACGGUUCCCACUCCAUUAGGAGGCAGCAGUGAGGAAUAUUCCGCAAUGGACGAAAGUCUGACGGAGUGAUACUACGUGGAGGACGAAACUUGGAAACAAGCGUAAACUUCCUUUUGUUGUAGAAGAAGAAUUGAAUCUAAUAAUUCAAUUUUGUACGGUAUACAUCGAAUAAGUCACGACUAACUAUGUGCCAGCAGUCGCGGUAAGACAUAGGUGGCGAACGUUAUCCGGAUUUAUUGGGCGUAAAGGAUGCGCAGGUGGUAGAGCAAGUUAUUAGUUAAAGUCGAGCUCAACUCAACGAAGGCUGGUAAAACUGUUCUGCUAGAGGAAAGAAGAGGUUGACGGAAAUCUAUGUGUAGGGGUGAAAUCCAUUGAUCUAUAGAGGACCACCAAAAAAGGCGAAGGCAGUUAACUAUUCUAUUCCUGACACUGAGGCAUGAAAGCGUGGGGAGCAAAACGGAUUAGAUACCCUAGUAGUCC